AUUGAACGCUGGCGGCAGGCCUAACACAUGCAAGUCGAGCGGAAACGAGUUUAUCUGAACCUUCGGGGGACGAUAACGGCGUCGAGCGGCGGACGGGUGAGUAAUGCCUAGGAAAUUGCCCUGAUGUGGGGGAUAACCGUUGGAAACGAUGGCUAAUACCGCAUGAUGCCUACGGGCCAAAGAGGGGGACCUUCGGGCCUCUCGCGUCAGGAUAUGCCUAGGUGGGAUUAGCUAGUUGGUGAGGUAAGGGCUCACCAAGGCGACGAUCCCUAGCUGGUCUGAGAGGAUGAUCAGCCACACUGGAACUGAGACACGGUCCAGACUCCUACGGGAGGCAGCAGUGGGGAAUAUUGCACAAUGGGCGCAAGCCUGAUGCAGCCAUGCCGCGUGUAUGAAGAAGGCCUUCGGGUUGUAAAGUACUUUCAGUCGUGAGGAAGGUGGUGUAGUUAAUAGCUGCAUUAUUUGACGUUAGCGACAGAAGAAGCACCGGCUAACUCCGUGCCAGCAGCCGCGGUAAUACGGAGGGUGCGAGCGUUAAUCGGAAUUACUGGGCGUAAAGCGCAUGCAGGUGGUUUGUUAAGUCAGAUGUGAAAGCCCGGGGCUCAACCUCGGAAUAGCAUUUGAAACUGGCAGACUAGAGUACUGUAGAGGGGGGUAGAAUUUCAGGUGUAGCGGUGAAAUGCGUAGAGAUCUGAAGGAAUACCGGUGGCGAAGGCGGCCCCCUGGACAGAUACUGACACUCAGAUGCGAAAGCGUGGGGAGCAAACAGGAUUAGAUACCCUGGUAGUCCACGCCGUAAACGAUGUCUACUUGGAGGUUGUGGCCUUGAGCCGUGGCUUUCGGAGCUAACGCGUUAAGUAGACCGCCUGGGGAGUACGGUCGCAAGAUUAAAACUCAAAUGAAUUGACGGGGGCCCGCACAAGCGGUGGAGCAUGUGGUUUAAUUCGAUGCAACGCGAAGAACCUUACCUACUCUUGACAUCCAGAGAACUUUCCAGAGAUGGAUUGGUGCCUUCGGGAACUCUGAGACAGGUGCUGCAUGGCUGUCGUCAGCUCGUGUUGUGAAAUGUUGGGUUAAGUCCCGCAACGAGCGCAACCCUUAUCCUUGUUUGCCAGCGAGUAAUGUCGGGAACUCCAGGGAGACUGCCGGUGAUAAACCGGAGGAAGGUGGGGACGACGUCAAGUCAUCAUGGCCCUUACGAGUAGGGCUACACACGUGCUACAAUGGCGCAUACAGAGGGCGGCCAACUUGCGAAAGUGAGCGAAUCCCAAAAAGUGCGUCGUAGUCCGGAUUGGAGUCUGCAACUCGACUCCAUGAAGUCGGAAUCGCUAGUAAUCGUGGAUCAGAAUGCCACGGUGAAUACGUUCCCGGGCCU
Molecule: ribosomal RNA, 1375 nt
Filed under: uncultured bacterium
Lineage: Bacteria
Description: bacterial SSU rRNA
Rfam family: Bacterial small subunit ribosomal RNA
Source: RNAcentral